Molecule: small nucleolar RNA, 80 nt
Organism: Nymphaea colorata (pocket water lily)
Lineage: Eukaryota; Viridiplantae; Streptophyta; Magnoliopsida; Nymphaeales; Nymphaeaceae
Product: small nucleolar RNA snoR122
Exons: 1
Source: RefSeq, a predicted model, not a curated record
UGCCAAUGAUGCUUUCUUCUUGCACGUAUUAUCAGAGUACGUCAUGAUGAAACCAUGUUAUUGUCACUACCUCUGAGGCA